GACGAGGGAUCCUAGCGUUGUUCGGAAUCAUUGGGCGUAAAGCGGGUGCAGGUGGCUAUGUAAGUCAGGUGUGAAAGCCUAGGGCUCAACCCUAGAAGUGCAUUUGAUACUGCGUAGCUUGAGUGGUAGAGAGGAUAGUAGAAUCUUGGUGUAGUGGUGAAAUACGUAGAUAUCAAGAGGAAUACCGGAGGCGAAAGGCGGCUAUCGUGGCUACACACUGACACUCAGACCCGAAAGUGCGGGGAUCAAACAGGAUUAGAGUACCCAGUAAGCUC
This 275-nucleotide ribosomal RNA is filed under the name uncultured bacterium. Its description in RNAcentral is "partial 16S ribosomal RNA". It matches the Rfam family "Bacterial small subunit ribosomal RNA", at positions 524 to 796 of the family's 1533-position model. The record is from RNAcentral.